This 73-nucleotide transfer RNA is filed under the name Actinomadura citrea. Its description in RNAcentral is "tRNA-Met". It matches the Rfam family "tRNA". Rfam says of the family: Transfer RNA (tRNA) molecules are approximately 80 nucleotides in length. Their secondary structure includes four short double-helical elements and three loops (D, anti-codon, and T loops). Further hydrogen bonds mediate the characteristic L-shaped molecular structure. tRNAs have two regions of fundamental functional importance: the anti-codon, which is responsible for specific mRNA codon recognition, and the 3' end, to which the tRNAs corresponding amino acid is attached (by aminoacyl-tRNA synthetases). tRNAs cope with the degeneracy of the genetic code in two manners: having more than one tRNA (with a specific anti-codon) for a particular amino acid; and 'wobble' base-pairing, i.e. permitting non-standard base-pairing at the 3rd anti-codon position. The record is from RNAcentral. RNAcentral also lists the same sequence under 7 other names. Lineage: Bacteria; Bacillati; Actinomycetota; Actinomycetes; Streptosporangiales; Thermomonosporaceae.
GCUGAGCAGGGACGCUGGUGCGUCCGGCGGUCUCAUAAACCGCAGCAGGCAGGUUCGAUUCCUGCGCUCAGCA